RNAcentral lists this ribosomal RNA (2433 nucleotides) under Triticum aestivum (bread wheat). RNAcentral describes it as "partial small subunit ribosomal RNA". The record is from RNAcentral. Lineage: Eukaryota; Viridiplantae; Streptophyta; Magnoliopsida; Poales; Poaceae.
AUGGCCAUGAGCGGGCUCGGCGGUGUGAUUGCGGGCGCCGUGGGGAAGCAGAUCGUGAGCAAGCUCGGUGAAUACGCCGCGUCGGAGGUUAGUCUGCAGUGGAGGUACAGGGAGGAGGUGCUGGAGUUGGGGGAGAAGAUGAAAGAUGUGGAGGCCGUGCUGGGCGACGCCGACGAGAGGUCGCGCCGACAAGGGCGGCAAGGUGGCAGGGUGUACGAGCGGUGGCUCGCCAAGUUCAAGCGCGUGGCGUACGACGUGGAGGACGUGCUCGACGAGCUGGACGCCAAUGAGCUCAUCAGCAAGACCCAAUCCAAGGUCAGCUUCUGGUUUUCCAGACACAACCAACUCCUGCAGCGAGUAACCAUGCCACACAAGAUGAAGAAGGUGAUGAACAAGAUUGACAAAAUUAAAGAGGAGGGCAGUAGUGAGCUCAAUCUUGUGCCUCGAGAAGCAAGGGGGCAAGGGAACAGAAACAAUGAAACUUUUGCAGCCAACUGGAAUGGUGAUGGCAUCAAAACUGGAAUGGCGGGGAGGGUUAUCGAGAAGGAGAAGAUAAUCAGCCUGCUGCUCACAAGUGAAGAAGCUGACCGGAAUAUCUCCAUCAUUCCAGUUGUUGGCCUUGGUGGCAUAGGCAAGACAACAUUGGUUGAAUCGGUUCUUGCAGACAAGAGGGUCAACGUCUUUGAUGUCUCAGUCUGGGUUCAUGUGUCGAAGCAGUUUGAUUUGAGCAAAAUUGGGAGGGCCAUCCUGAAAAGCUUGAAUAGCAACAUCAACAACCUUAGCGAUUGUACUAUGCAGUUUCUGUCUGAUAAUCUGACCAAAGAACUUGCUACUAGAAGAUACUUGAUUGUCCUGGAUGAUCUAUGUGAGGAAGAUGGAAAUAACCUUGAAGAGUUGAAGAUGUUACAGCAUGGCCGCAAGGGUAGCCGCAUUAUUGUAACUACCCGAAACCAAAGCGUGGUGCAAUGCUUGCGCACUGGUUUUCUUGCAAAUCAGUGGAAAAUUUGUCCAAUUCCUGAGUCUGAAGUCAUCAAUCUGGAUGUUUUAAACCCUGAUGACUGUUGGGAAUUGAUGAAGCAAAGGGCAUUUGGGCCUGGUGAUGACCAAAGUAGCUUGGAAGAAAUCGGAAAGCAGAUUGCAGGCAAGUGUGGGGGUUUACCACUUGUUGCAAACGCUCUUGGGCAAGUAAUGUCAGAGAGAAAGAACGUCGGGGCAUGGGAAGAUAUAAGAGACACCAAGGUUGAUUUGGGUUUGAGAGAUCAGAAAGAAACAUUAGAGAGGCUAAUGCUGAGCUAUUACCACAUGGAGCCAGAAUUCAAAAUGUGUUUCACAUACUUGGCAACCUUCCCCAAGGGCUUUGUCAUGCACAGGAAUCGUCUAAUCCAGCAAUGGAAUGCACUUGGAUACAUUAAUUCAAGGCACGAUGGUCAAAGGUGCAUCAACUACCUUCUGGGGAUGUCCUUUCUUCGGAUUCCAGGUUCCACUUCGGUUAAUCCAAGUCCAUUGCAUUUCAAAGCUCCUACAGAACUCGUCAUGCAUGAUUUGGUGCAUGAUCUUGCAUCAAUAAUUGUUCUUGAUGAGUUCAUUGAUCUGGAUGCUACCAAGAGCGCCAGCUGGAACAAAGCUCGCUACUGCCGACAUGCACAGUUAACCAACUUCAAGAAUGAUCCCGAGGUUUUCAAAUAUAUUCCAGGCAAGCUUAGAUCCCUCCAAUUUAGGGAUUUGGGGGGACGCCAACUCCCUAAAAAGGCAUUUUCUCGGUCCAAGUACAUACGUGUCUUGGACCUAAGUGGACAUUCAGCUAAUGGCCAAUCUGCUCCAAGUAGUGUGGUGCUGCCAUCUUCCAUUAAUCAAUUGAAACUAAUUAGGUAUCUUGAUGCCACAUGCUUGCCAAUAACAUCACUUCCUAAGUAUUUUCAUGCACUUCAAAACAUGGAAACUCUUAUUCUGUCCAAUUGCUUUCUUGAAACCUUGCCUGACAGUAUUUGUCGCCUCACCAAACUUUGCUAUUUGGACCUAUCUGGCAGUAGCGGCCUCGGUAAGCUACUUGCAUCACUAGGGGAGCUCUCUCAACUCUUUUUCCUUAAUCUAUCCGGGUGUUCUAUACUCCAACAGUUGCCUGAAUCAAUCUGUGAGCUUACAUGUUUACAUCACCUGGACAUGUCAGAUUGUUGUGCUCUUCAAAAGUUGCCUGAUAAAUUUGGUGGCCUUCUUAAACUCUCAUUCUUAAACUUGUCAGGAUGUUCGAAGCUCACCAAACUACCUGACAAUGUAAGCUUUCCGUGUUUAGAGCAUCUGAACCUAUCUAGUUGCCAUGAGCUAGAAAACCUGCCAAUUGAUUUCGGCCACCUUCAGAAGCUUGAGUUCAUGAACCUCUCUGGUUGCUACAAGGUUCCACUGCUACCAGUAUCAUUUUGCAACUUAAUCAUUUGA